RNAcentral lists this ribosomal RNA (454 nucleotides) under uncultured bacterium. Its description in RNAcentral is "bacterial SSU rRNA". It matches the Rfam family "Bacterial small subunit ribosomal RNA", at positions 8 to 507 of the family's 1533-position model. The record is from RNAcentral.
AGAGUUUGAUCAUGGCUCAGAACGAACGCUGGCGGCAGGCUUAACACAUGCAAGUCGAACGGUUGUAGCAAUACAGCAGUGGCAGACGGGUGAGUAACACGUGGGAACCUUCCUAGGGGUACGGAACAACUCAGGGAAACUUGAGCUAAUACCGUAUACGUCCGUGAGGAGAAAGAUUUAUCGCCCUUAGACGGGCCCGCGUCGGAUUAGCUAGUUGUGGGGUAACGGCCUACCAAGGCGACGAUCCGUAGCUGAUCUUAGAGGAUGAUCAGCCACACUGGGACUGAGACACGGCCCAGACUCCUACGGGAGGCAGCAGUGGGGAAUCUUGGACAAUGGGCGCAAGCCUGAUCCAGCCAUGCCGCGUGAGUGAAGAAGGUCUUCGGAUUGUAAAGCUCUUUUGCCAGGGACGAUAAUGACGGUACCUGGAGAAUAAGCCCCGGCAAACUUCGUG